GGAGCUUGCUCCACCGGAAAAAGAAGAGUGGCGAACGGGUGAGUAACACGUGGGUAACCUGCCCAUCAGAAGGGGAUAACACUUGGAAACAGGUGCUAAUACCGUAUAACAAUCGAAACCGCAUGGUUUUGAUUUGAAAGGCGCUUUCGGGUGUCGCUGAUGGAUGGACCCGCGGUGCAUUAGCUAGUUGGUGAGGUAACGGCUCACCAAGGCCACGAUGCAUAGCCGACCUGAGAGGGUGAUCGGCCACAUUGGGACUGAGACACGGCCCAAACUCCUACGGGAGGCAGCAGUAGGGAAUCUUCGGCAAUGGACGAAAGUCUGACCGAGCAACGCCGCGUGAGUGAAGAAGGUUUUCGGAUCGUAAAACUCUGUUGUUAGAGAAGAACAAGGAUGAGAGUAACUGUUCAUCCCUUGACGGUAUCUAACCAGAAAGCCACGGCUAACUACGUGCCAGCAGCCGCGGUAAUACGUAGGUGGCAAGCGUUGUCCGGAUUUAUUGGGCGUAAAGCGAGCGCAGGCGGUUUCUUAAGUCUGAUGUGAAAGCCCCCGGCUCAACCGGGGAGGGUCAUUGGAAACUGGGAGACUUGAGUGCAGAAGAGGAGAGUGGAAUUCCAUGUGUAGCGGUGAAAUGCGUAGAUAUAUGGAGGAACACCAGUGGCGAAGGCGGCUCUCUGGUCUGUAACUGACGCUGAGGCUCGAAAGCGUGGGGAGCAAACAGGAUUAGAUACCCUGGUAGUCCACGCCGUAAACGAUGAGUGCUAAGUGUUGGAGGGUUUCCGCCCUUCAGUGCUGCAGCUAACGCAUUAAGCACUCCGCCUGGGGAGUACGACCGCAAGGUUGAAACUCAAAGGAAUUGACGGGGGCCCGCACAAGCGGUGGAGCAUGUGGUUUAAUUCGAAGCAACGCGAAGAACCUUACCAGGUCUUGACAUCCUUUGACCACUCUAGAGAUAGAGCUUCCCCUUCGGGGGCAAAGUGACAGGUGGUGCAUGGUUGUCGUCAGCUCGUGUCGUGAGAUGUUGGGUUAAGUCCCGCAACGAGCGCAACCCUUAUUGUUAGUUGCCAUCAUUCAGUUGGGCACUCUAGCAAGACUGCCGGUGACAAACCGGAGGAAGGUGGGGAUGACGUCAAAUCAUCAUGCCCCUUAUGACCUGGGCUACACACGUGCUACAAUGGGAAGUACAACGAGUCGCGAAGUCGCGAGGCUAAGCUAAUCUCUUAAAGCUUCUCUCAGUUCGGAUUGUAGGCUGCAACUCGCCUACAUGAAGCCGGAAUCGCUAGUAAUCGCGGAUCAGCACGCCGCGGUGAAUACGUUCCCGGGCCUUGUACACACCGCCCGUCACACCACGAGAGUUUGUAACACCCGAAGUCGUAGA
Molecule: ribosomal RNA, 1378 nt
Filed under: Enterococcus durans
Lineage: Bacteria; Bacillati; Bacillota; Bacilli; Lactobacillales; Enterococcaceae
Description: bacterial SSU rRNA
Rfam family: Bacterial small subunit ribosomal RNA
Source: RNAcentral